Molecule: ribosomal RNA, 506 nt
Filed under: uncultured bacterium
Lineage: Bacteria
Description: partial 16S ribosomal RNA
Rfam family: Bacterial small subunit ribosomal RNA
Source: RNAcentral
AGUGAGCGCUGGCGGUAGGCCUAACACAUGCAAGUCGAACGGCAGCACAGAGGAGCUUGCUCCUUGGGUGGCGAGUGGCGGACGGGUGAGGAAUACAUCGGAAUCUACUCUGUCGUGGGGGAUAACGUAGGGAAACUUACGCUAAUACCGCAUACGACCUACGGGUGAAAGCAGGGGACCUUCGGGCCUUGCGCGAUUGAAUGAGCCGAUGUCGGAUUAGCUAGUUGGCGGGGUAAAGGCCCACCAAGGCGACGAUCCGUAGCUGGUCUGAGAGGAUGAUCAGCCACACUGGAACUUAGACACGGUCCAGACUCCUACGGGAGGCAGCAGUGGGGAAUAUUGGACAAUGGGCGCAAGCCUGAUCCAGCCAUACCGCGUGGGUGAAGAAGGCCUUCGGGUUGUAAAGCCCUUUUGUUGGGAAAGAAAUCCAGCUGGCUAAUACCCGGUUGGGAUGACGGUACCCAAAGAAUAAGCACCGGCUAACUUCGUGCCAGCCGCCGCGGUAA